AACGAACGCUGGCGGCAUGCCUAACACAUGCAAGUCGAACGAGACCUUCGGGUCUAGUGGCGCACGGGUGCGUAACGCGUGGGAACCUGCCCUUAGGUUCGGAAUAACUCCCCGAAAGGGGUGCUAAUACCGGAUAAUGUCUUCGGACCAAAGAUUUAUCGCCUUUGGAUGGGCCCGCGUCGGAUUAGCUAGUUGGUAGGGUAAAAGCCUACCAAGGCGACGAUCCAUAGCUGGUCUGAGAGGAUGAUCAGCCACACUGGGACUGAGACACGGCCCAGACUCCUACGGGAGGCAGCAGUGGGGAAUAUUGGACAAUGGGCGAAAGCCUGAUCCAGCAAUGCCGCGUGAGUGAUGAAGGCCUUAGGGUUGUAAAGCUCUUUUACCCGGGACGAUAAUGACAGUACCGGGAGAAUAAGCGCCGGCUAACUCCGUG
RNAcentral lists this ribosomal RNA (433 nucleotides) under uncultured bacterium. RNAcentral's name for it is "partial 16S ribosomal RNA". It matches the Rfam family "Bacterial small subunit ribosomal RNA", at positions 29 to 507 of the family's 1533-position model. The record is from RNAcentral.